Molecule: ribosomal RNA, 496 nt
Filed under: uncultured bacterium
Lineage: Bacteria
Description: bacterial SSU rRNA
Rfam family: Bacterial small subunit ribosomal RNA
Source: RNAcentral
GGCUCAGGAUGAACGCUAGCGGCAGGCCUAACACAUGCAAGUCGAGGGCAGCACGAAUUAGCUUGCUAAGUUUGGUGGCGACCGGCGCACGGGUGCGUAACGCGUAUGCAACCUACCUUAUACAGGAGUAUAGCCCGGAGAAAUUCGGAUUUAAUCCUCCAUGGUACUGAGACACCGCAUGGUGAUUCAGUUAAAGCUUCGGCGGUAUAAGAUGGGCAUGCGUCCUAUUAGCUAGAUGGUAAGGUAACGGCUUACCAUGGCUACGAUAGGUAGGGGGCCUGAGAGGGUGGUCCCCCACACUGGUACUGAGACACGGACCAGACUCCUACGGGAGGCAGCAGUGAGGAAUAUUGGUCAAUGGGCGCAAGCCUGAACCAGCCAUGCCGCGUGCAGGAAGAAUGCCCUAUGGGUUGUAAACUGCUUUUAUUUGGGAAUAAACCUUUCUACGUGUAGGAAGCUGAAGGUACCAAAUGAAUAAGCACCGGCUAACUCCGUG